Triticum aestivum (bread wheat) is the source of this 1947-nucleotide RNA transcript. RefSeq lists it as uncharacterized. The transcript has 5 exons. Lineage: Eukaryota; Viridiplantae; Streptophyta; Magnoliopsida; Poales; Poaceae. The record is from RefSeq and is a predicted model, not a curated record.
UCCUGAGAGAUGCUAGAUACACAGACUUGCUACAGGGUGUUUACGGAGUGGUUAAAGGUGAUUGGUUGAAAUUAGAUUAAGUGAGGCGGGCCCCCUAGUGAAAAUCAGGGGGGGCCAAUUAGAGAAGAGCAGGAAGCAGGGUCCGUGAAAGUCCGUUGCGGGAGCCGUGUGUGUAGUAUUAUCAGUCGUCUCCUACCUCCGCCGCUGGAUUAGUCACUUGCCGGCGGAGCUAUGCGGCGAUUCUCGUGGGCGACAGGGCGAACGGAACCGGUGGACGCCAAUUAAGAGCAAGAGGUAAACAACAGCAAUAUUCUGAUGUAGCCGCUGCACUACCCAGUGGCGCAGCCGGCUGAGGAGCUGCUGGCGCCUAUGGUGGAAGUAGGUGCGGACGAACAGAUCUGUGCGGCGGAUGCAUGUCAAAAAGGGUCACCGACAGUGUUGGAGCAGUCAAUUGGAUAGAUCGACCCUAGAGCUCCUGGCCGGAAAAGAAGGGUGAGGAUAGGUGCUACUGCCCCAGGAAGGCCGCCAUGUCCUAACCGGACUACUGUUCUCGAGAAGGCUAUCCAUGGUUUCGCCGACAAUCCUGGGGACAAUGUCAUUGUGCCAGCUUUGGGUACAACCUUUGAUUCUGUGCGUGAAGCAUACAACUUCUACAACCUGUGUUCGUGGAGAAAGGAUUUGGCAUUAGAUACGGUGAAAGAAGGCUAAAUGUGGAGAGGACAACAUGCAUGCAGGCAAUUGUUUGCGGCUGUGCGGGAAAGGCGGGGUUGAGAACAGUAGGUCGUGUCAUUGCGAUUGCCUUGCUCUCAUCAAGUUGUUGCGGUCCAAAAACAAUGGUUGGUACAUAGCAGAACGCCGUGAGAGGAGCACAACCACAGAAGUUGAUCUAUGGCACAGGAGGUUCACUUUCAGGUUGUGCAAAUGGAGACAAUUCAUUCUGUUAGGUCGAUACUUCGAGGAGCUACUACUUAUUUUAGUCAAAAAGGGUUGAAUUGCUGAGACGACAUGUGUGGAGAGGGGCGACUAUUGACGAUGACGGAGUUCCCGAUGCGACCCAUGAGCAGCUAACAUCAAUAUCGUUUUGAGAAGCAGGGUGUUUUAAUUCAUGAUUUGUUGAUUGCUUGCUUUUUUUCUUGCAAUGGAGGGUUGCAGAUUCCCCUUUCUGGAGGAAUUGGAUGAGAGCGCAACCCUGAUGGAACAGGCAGCGUUCGCGGUGGUUCGUUUGGCCAUGAGUGCGGACAAGAAGGUCCGUGAGGAAGACAGAGUAAAAGGUGUGAGGCGAGAGGCGUUGCCGCCGGAGUCCGAGAUGUUCAACGGGAAGAUGAACCUACAUGCAUCUGGUUGGGUUAAGAGCAGCACGAUCUGGUUGCUGGGAUGAAAAGUGACAAGAGGGAGCUUGAAGAGGAAGACGUUGUUCGGUGGGAAGACGGAUGGCAGUAAAUGGGUCAGCGAAUGCAACGGGCAUUAGAACGCCUGGGGCACGGCCCAGACCGUUGGCAGCCAUCUGAGCCGGCGCUAGCAUGACGGCCAACGUCACAUUAAUGUGUUUGGUUGGUGCGCCAUCGCCAGGAAUAAAGAUGCAUAUACUGCUUUUAAUACGCAGAGAAAUACCUUGUGGAGUGCGAAUCUAAGAGGGAGCGGGCGAUCAGGAUAACGAGCACAUAUCAGCUCGGGCUCAGAUAGGCACUUUCGUACUAAUCGUUCCAUAUACUACCUUUAUUUUUUAAGCAAGGAAAGAACUAUGAGUUGAUGAUGAUGAUGAUAUGUACAUAGUUUGGGCGGGUUGUAUUAGAAUUGUAGGCGGGCUAGUCUCGACAAUUCAACAUCACAUGUUCACGACCCUAUCGGAGCGUGUUUUCCUUGGCCUUUUUAGUGGUACAACUGGAACUUUUACGGGUUUUGUAUUUGUUUCACAUGUUGGUUUAGGUGGGUCAUGUACAUCUCCGA